This is a long non-coding RNA of Leopardus geoffroyi (Geoffroy's cat), 451 nucleotides long. RefSeq lists it as uncharacterized. Lineage: Eukaryota; Metazoa; Chordata; Mammalia; Carnivora; Felidae. The record is from RefSeq and is a predicted model, not a curated record. The transcript is spliced from 3 exons.
CUCGUUUCCUACCGCUCUGUAACUUUCCACAGCCUGUCCGGGUGGGCAUGUGCUGUGUCAGACGCUGGCUGACCGACAAUGAGGCAUUAUCACAGUUUUAACCCUAACGAAGCUAUGAUGUGUGGAGGUCUCGGAGCCACAUCAAAAUAAAAAGGGAACAGCCUAGUUUCUGCUUUCACGUUUGGAGCGGCAGCGCAAACUCCUGUAAACUUAGAAGACGAGUUGGCUACCCCAGUCCAGCUCCAGCUUUCUGCAUCAGCAAGAACUGAUGGGACAAACCCUGGAGGACCACCAUGGUCGGUAAAGCUCGUCCAAGUUCACUGCUGGGAGGCCACUGGAACAAGAGACUGGAAAGCCUGUCCAGGCAGAGAAGUGACUCCCUCGCCCUGCACUGCCCCGUGCAGUGACCAGGAGCCACUCAGUGCUUCCUUAAGUUUAACCUUUUGGUGUA